This 347-nucleotide RNase P RNA is filed under the name Desulfonispora thiosulfatigenes DSM 11270. Its description in RNAcentral is "Bacterial RNase P class A". It matches the Rfam family "Bacterial RNase P class A". From Rfam's summary of the family: Ribonuclease P (RNase P) is a ubiquitous endoribonuclease, found in archaea, bacteria and eukarya as well as chloroplasts and mitochondria. Lineage: Bacteria; Bacillati; Bacillota; Clostridia; Eubacteriales; Peptococcaceae. The record is from Rfam by way of RNAcentral.
UGAGUAAACUAGAUGAUCGCAGGCAUAAGCCGCAAGGCUGUGUUUGAGGAAAGUCCGGGCUCCAUAGGGCAGGGUGCUGGCUAACGGCCAGUGAGGGUGACCUCAAGGAUAGUGCCACAGAAAUAAACCGCCUUCUUUUGAAGGUAAGGGUGGAACGGUGCGGUAAGAGCGCACCAGCAGCUAGGUGACUAGCUGGCUAGGUAAACCCCACUUGGAGCAAGACCUAAUAGGGGAACGCAUGGAGUAGCCCGCUCUGUUCCCGGGUAGGUCGCACGAGGUGCUUGGUAACUUGCAUCCCAGAUAGAUGAUCAUCCACGACAGAACCCGGCUUACGGUUUGCUCACUUA